GCAGAAGGAAAUGACGAAGAAGUAUGACUCGAAGGAGGCGGAGGCAACCAACCUGCAGAAGGAAAACGGCGAGUUGAAGAAGGACCUUCAGGAAAAGGAAAAAGAAAUCAAAUUAAAGCUGGAUAAACUCGAGAAGUUGAAGGAGAUGCAGAAAAAAGUAUGACUCGAAGGAGGCGGAGGCAGCCAACCUGCAGAAGGAAAUCGGAAAGAUCAAGAAGGAUCUUCAGGAAAAGGAGAAA
This is a long non-coding RNA of Penaeus monodon (black tiger shrimp), 239 nucleotides long. RefSeq lists it as uncharacterized. The record is from RefSeq and is a predicted model, not a curated record. The transcript is spliced from 2 exons. NCBI's taxonomy places the organism in Eukaryota, Metazoa, Arthropoda, Malacostraca, Decapoda, Penaeidae.